RNAcentral lists this ribosomal RNA (410 nucleotides) under Cryptosporidium parvum. RNAcentral's name for it is "partial 18S ribosomal RNA". It matches the Rfam family "Eukaryotic small subunit ribosomal RNA", at positions 595 to 1031 of the family's 1831-position model. The record is from RNAcentral. Lineage: Eukaryota; Apicomplexa; Conoidasida; Eucoccidiorida; Cryptosporidiidae.
UAGCGUAUAUUAAAGUUGUUGCAGUUAAAAAGCUCGUAGUUGGAUUUCUGUUAAUAAUUUACUAUAAAAUAUUUUGAUGAAUAUUUAUAUAAUAUUAACAUAAUUCAUAUUACUAUUUUUUUUAGUAUAUGAAAUUUUACUUUGAGAAAAUUAGAGUGCUUAAAGCAGGCAUAUGCCUUGAAUACUCCAGCAUGGAAUAAUAUUAAAGAUUUUUAUCUUUUUUAUUGGUUCUAACAUAAGAAUAAUGAUUAAUAGGGACAGUUGGGGGCAUUUCUAUUUAACAGUCAGAGGUGAAAUUCUUAGAGUUGUUAAAGACAAACUAAUGCGAAAGCAUUUGCCAAGGAUGUUUUCAUUAAUCAAGAACGAAAGUUUGGGGAUCGAAGACGAUCAGAUGCGUCGUAGUCUUAACC